RNAcentral lists this ribosomal RNA (1348 nucleotides) under uncultured Microgenomates group bacterium. RNAcentral describes it as "partial 16S ribosomal RNA". It matches the Rfam family "Bacterial small subunit ribosomal RNA". The record is from RNAcentral.
AGAGUUUGAUCAUGGCUCAGGAUGAACGCUGGCGACGUGGAUAAGGCAUGCAAGUCGAACGGUUGUAGCAAUACAACAGUGGCGAACGGGUUAGUAACACGUAGAUAUCAACCCUUUACUCGGGCAUAACCUGGAGAAAUCUAGGCUAAUUCCCGAUAGUCCGGAAACGGUAAAGAUUUUUCGGUAAAGGAUGAGUCUGCGUCCUAUCAGCUAGUUGGUGAGGUAAUGGCUCACCAAGGCAAUGACGGGUAGGCGGAGUGAGAGCUUGACCGCCAACAAUGGCACUGAGACACGGGCCAUACUCCUACGGGAGGCAGCAGUCGAGAAUAUUUGACAAUGGGCGAAAGCCUGAUCAAGCGACGUCGCGUGUGGGAUUAAGAUCUUCGGAUUGUAAACCACUUUUCUAGGGGAAGAACUUUGACUGUACCCUAGGAAUAAGGGGUGACUAAACUCGUGCCAGCAGUAGCGGUAAUACGAGUGCCCCAAGCGUUAUCCGGAUUUAUUGGGCGUAAAGGGUCUGUAGGUGGUUUGUUAAGUUUCUCGUUAAAGCUCCAGGGCUUAACCUUGGAAAAGCGGGAAAAACUGGCAAACUAGAGGAUGUUAGAGGCUGAUGGAACACUUGGUGAAGGGGUGGAAUCCGUUGAUAUCAAGUGGAACACCGAAAGCGAAAGCAAUCAGCUGGGACAGUCCUGACACUGAAAGACGAAAGCGUGGGGAGAGAAAAGGAUUAGAUACCCUUGUAUUCCACGCCUUAAACGAUGAAUACUAGCUAUUGCAAGUGUCGACCCUUGCAGUGGCGAAGCUAACGCGUUAAGUAUUCCGCCUGGGAAGUACGGCCGCAAGUGUGAAACUCAAAGGAAUUGACGGGGACCCGCACAAGCAGCGGAGCAUGUGGUUUAAUUCGAAGCAACGCGAAGAACCUUACCAGGUCUUGACAUCCUUCUGGAUAGUCCUUAGCCGGACUAGCCCUUCGGGGCAGAAGAGACAGGUGGUGCAUGGUUGUCGUCAGCUCGUGUCGUGAGAUGUUGGGUUAAGUCCCGCAACGAGCGCAACCCUUGUGUUUAGUUGCCAACAGGUAAAGCUGUGCACUCUAGACAGACUGCCGUGGAAAACACGGAGGAAGGUGGGGAUGACGUCAAAUCAUCAUGCCCCUUAUGAUCUGGGCUACACACGUGCUACAAUGGCCGGUACAACGGGCAGCGAAGGAGCGAUCCGGAGCGAAUCCUAAAAAGCCGGUCCCAGUUCGGAUUGCAGGCUGCAACUCGCCUGCAUGAAGUCGGAGUUGCUAGUAAUCGCGAAUCAGCAUGUCGCGGUGAAUGCGUUCCCGGGUCUUGUACUCACCCCCGUC